This is a non-coding RNA of Odocoileus virginianus texanus, 879 nucleotides long. NCBI's taxonomy places the organism in Eukaryota, Metazoa, Chordata, Mammalia, Artiodactyla, Cervidae. The record is from RefSeq and is a predicted model, not a curated record.
AGGGCCCCUCUCCCUCACAGCCCCUCCCCGGGCUCACCUGAGUGAGUGACCCCCUCACAGCCCCUCCGUGUGGUCACCUGAGGGCCCCUCUCCCUCACAGCCCCUCCCUGGGCUCACCUGAGUGAGUGACCCCCUCACAGCCCCUCCGUGUGGUCACCUGAGGGCCUCUCUCCCUCACAGCCCCUCCCUGGGCUCACCUGAAUGUCAACUGAACUGAGCACACGCUAGACCAAAUCCACCGCCUCCCCAAAGGUCACUUCUGAUUCACUCUCGAUGUGAAGUCAGGUGCACGCUCCCCAUUCCAAAGACCUGUGAGGUGUCCAGGCACUGAGAUGUGACCACGUCACCAGGAGCUGGCAGCUCACAUGGGGGGCCGGGGGAGCGGGAGUGGGGAGGAGAAGCAGGUGGAGGAGGACAUGGUCAAUGAAGACAGCGCCCUGCUGACCACUCCGCCCUGGCCCGGAGCCCUGGCUGCCCUCGGAGCUGAUUGUAUGCGCACUUGGACUGAGGUCUCUGCCCCGUACCCUCAUCUUCCUGGCUUCAAGGAGAAGUUAAACAGUGCAUGGUGGGAUGUGCAAAGUUAGAGAAGUGUCUGUGGCCAUCCCGGCCCUACAGGGGGAAGGAUGAAGAACUAGCUCCAGGUCUGAAGGACGGCCAGCCCACAGGAGAAGCUGACCUUGUGAACACCAUGCUCUAGCAGCACCCAUUGCAGACUCUCAGAAAGAGAGGCCAGGCCCAUCCUGAGAUGCCUCCAAUCCCAGCUCCCAAAGACAGGCCUGGACCCCUUUCCACCAUCACUCCAGACUGCCAGUGUGUCCAGUGAGGGGGGAGAUGUAUCAUAAAUCAAUAUAUCUCUCGCACUCACAGGCACGUACCCUC